Molecule: non-coding RNA, 70 nt
Organism: Podarcis lilfordi (Lilford's wall lizard)
Lineage: Eukaryota; Metazoa; Chordata; Lepidosauria; Squamata; Lacertidae
Source: the annotation of a GenBank genome assembly
GACCCUAGCUCAGUGGCUGAGCACCUGCUUCGCGUGCAGAAGGCCCCAUGUUGAAUUCCAGGCAGCAUCU